Molecule: non-coding RNA, 460 nt
Organism: Punica granatum (pomegranate)
Lineage: Eukaryota; Viridiplantae; Streptophyta; Magnoliopsida; Myrtales; Lythraceae
Source: RefSeq, a predicted model, not a curated record
GUCAGAAGGACUACCGUCAAAUGGGGGCACACCCACCGAGGACAUCUCAGAAAUUGCAUGAAACAUUGGGUUUAGUCCCGUUAAUCUUUUCACCGACUCCUCGGCCAUCUUCACCUGGAUAUAUGAAAUCACAGGCAAGGCGCUUGAGGAGAGACGAAUUCUCAACUCUAAGUUGAGCAACCUGUCAUUCAUCAGGAGAAGAUUAGGAGGCCAGAGAGAGGACACAGAUGAGGAGUCAUAGUUAACAUGUAACAAGGGGCAUCGAACUUACUUGUGUCUCUAGCUCGGUCAAAUGGGCCUGCUUUCUUCUUCGCGAGCGUCUAGCCGAUUCUCUAUUGGAGAGCAUUCUGAAAGAGCACUUAUCAAGUCAUUAAACUUUUCUUCAACUCACACAAAUCGACCCAAUAUGUCCUUAAUGAACCAUAUAGCACACAAUGAAUCUCAGAAAACUUUUGCCGGA